This 254-nucleotide ribosomal RNA is filed under the name uncultured bacterium. RNAcentral describes it as "partial 16S ribosomal RNA". It matches the Rfam family "Bacterial small subunit ribosomal RNA", at positions 524 to 776 of the family's 1533-position model. The record is from RNAcentral.
UACGGGGGGAGCAAGCGUUGUUCGGAUUUACUGGGCGUAAAGGGCGCGUAGGCGGUCAGCACAAGUCAGUUGUGAAAUCUCCGGGCUUAACUCGGAAAGGUCAACUGAUACUGUGCGACUAGAGUGCGGAAGGGGCAACUGGAAUUCUCGGUGUAGCGGUGAAAUGCGUAGAUAUCGAGAGGAAGACCAGCGGCGAAGGCGAGUUCCUGGACAGUUACUGACGCUGAGGCACGAAGGCCAGGGGAGCAAACGGG